RNAcentral lists this ribosomal RNA (808 nucleotides) under uncultured bacterium. RNAcentral's name for it is "bacterial SSU rRNA". It matches the Rfam family "Bacterial small subunit ribosomal RNA", at positions 1 to 802 of the family's 1533-position model. The record is from RNAcentral.
UAGAGUUUGAUCCUGGCUCAGGAUGAACGCUAGCUACAGGCUUAACACAUGCAAGUCGAGGGGAAACGGCAUUGAGUGCUUGCACUCUUCGGACGUCGACCGGCGCACGGGUGAGUAACGCGUAUCCAAUCUUCCCAUUACUGUGGGAUAACCUGCCGAAAGGCAGACUAAUACCGCAUGGUCUUCGAUGACGGCAUCAGAUUUGAAGUAAAGAUUUAUCGGUAAUGGAUGGGGAUGCGUCUGAUUAGCUUGUUGGCGGGGUAACGGCCCACCAAGGCGACGAUCAGUAGGGGUUCUGAGAGGAAGGUCCCCCACAUUGGAACUGAGACACGGUCCAAACUCCUACGGGAGGCAGCAGUGAGGAAUAUUGGUCAAUGGACGUAAGUCUGAACCAGCCAAGUAGCGUGCAGGAUGACGGCCCUAUGGGUUGUAAACUGCUUUUGUAUGGGGAUAAAGUCAAUCACGUGUGAUUGUUUGCAGGUACCAUACGAAUAAGGACCGGCUAAUUCCGUGCCAGCAGCCGCGGUAAUACGGAAGGUCCAGGCGUUAUCCGGAUUUAUUGGGUUUAAAGGGAGCGUAGGCCGGAGAUUAAGUGUGUUGUGAAAUGUAGACGCUCAACGUCUGACUUGCAGCGCAUACUGGUUUCCUUGAGUACGCACAACGUUGGCGGAAUUCGUCGUGUAGCGGUGAAAUGCUUAGAUAUGACGAAGAACUCCGAUUGCGAAGGCAGCUGACGGGAGCGCAACUGACGCUUAAGCUCGAAGGUGCGGGUAUCAAACAGGAUUAGAUACCCUGGUAGUCCGCACAG